This 236-nucleotide ribosomal RNA is filed under the name uncultured bacterium. RNAcentral describes it as "partial 16S ribosomal RNA". It matches the Rfam family "Bacterial small subunit ribosomal RNA", at positions 1264 to 1500 of the family's 1533-position model. The record is from RNAcentral.
GGAGCAAACCUCUAAAAAUAGGUCUCAGUUCAGAUUGCAGGCUGCAACCCGCCUGCAUGAAGUCGGAAUUGCUAGUAAUCGCGGAUCAGCAUGCCGCGGUGAAUACGUUCCCGGGCCUUGUACACACCGCCCGUCACACCAUGGGAGCCGGUAAUACCCGAAGUCAGUAGUCCAACCUCGUGAGGACGCUGCCGAAGGUAGGAUUGGCGACUGGGGUGAAGUCGUAACAAGGUAAC